This 253-nucleotide ribosomal RNA is filed under the name uncultured bacterium. RNAcentral describes it as "partial 16S ribosomal RNA". It matches the Rfam family "Bacterial small subunit ribosomal RNA", at positions 524 to 776 of the family's 1533-position model. The record is from RNAcentral.
UACGGAGGGGGCCAGCGUUGUUCGGAAUCAUUGGGCGUAAAGGGCGCGUAGGCUGCUCAGUAAGUCAGUUGUGAAAUCCCUCGGCUCAACCGAGGAACUGCGUCUGAUACUGCUGAGCUUGAGUCCCGGAGAGGGUAGCGGAAUUCCCAGUGUAGCGGUGAAAUGCGUAGAUAUUGGGAGGAACACCAGUGGCGAAGGCGGCUACCUGGACGGGUACUGACGCUGAGGCGCGAAAGCGUGGGGAGCAAACAGG